Molecule: ribosomal RNA, 253 nt
Filed under: uncultured bacterium
Lineage: Bacteria
Description: partial 16S ribosomal RNA
Rfam family: Bacterial small subunit ribosomal RNA
Source: RNAcentral
UACGUAGGUGGCGAGCGUUGUCCGGAAUUACUGGGUGUAAAGGGCGUGUAGGCGGGAUUGUAAGUCAGAUGUGAAAUUCUUAAGCUUAACUUAAGCGCUGCAUCUGAAACUGCGAUUCUUGAGUACUGGAGAGGAUAGUGGAAUUCCUAGUGUAGCGGUGAAAUGCGUAGAUAUUAGGAGGAACACCAGUGGCGAAGGCGACUAUCUGGACAGUAACUGACGCUGAGGCGCGAAAGCGUGGGGAUCAAACAGG